Molecule: ribosomal RNA, 654 nt
Filed under: Gelatoporia subvermispora
Lineage: Eukaryota; Fungi; Basidiomycota; Agaricomycetes; Polyporales; Gelatoporiaceae
Description: eukaryotic LSU rRNA
Rfam family: 5.8S ribosomal RNA (bases 249-402)
Source: RNAcentral
AGAGGAAGUAAAAGUCGUAACAAGGUUUCCGUAGGUGAACCUGCGGAAGGAUCAUUAUCGAGUUUGAAAAGGGUUGUAGCUGGUCUUUCACGAGGCAUGUGCACACCCUACUCAUCCACUCAACACCUGUGCACACUAUGUAGGUUUAGACGAGCAUCGGGGCCCUCGUGCCUCGGUAGGAGUCUGCCUAUGUCUUUAUAAACUCUGUUUAGUAUACGAAUGUACUUGCGAUAAAACGCAUCUUAUACAACUUUCAGCAACGGAUCUCUUGGCUCUCGCAUCGAUGAAGAACGCAGCGAAAUGCGAUAAGUAAUGUGAAUUGCAGAAUUCAGUGAAUCAUCGAAUCUUUGAACGCACCUUGCGCCCCUUGGUAUUCCGAGGGGCACACCCGUUUGAGUGUCGUGAAAUUCUCAACUCAACCACCUUUGCUGGUGUUUGGGCUUGGACUUGGGGGUUUGCUGGCUUCGGUCGGCUCCCCUUGAAUGCAUUAGCUCGAACCCUUGCGGAUCAGCUAUCGGUGUGAUAAUUGUCUACGCCGUGGUUGUGAUGCCACCUUCGGGUGUUGGAUCGGCUUCUAACUGUCCCCUAGGGACAAUUUCUUUGAAAUCUGACCUCAAAUCGGGUGGGACUACCCGCUGAACUUAAGCAUAUCAA